AUUGAACGCUGGCGGCAGGCCUACACAUGCAAGUCGAGCGGAUGAAGGGAGCUUGCUCCUGGAUUCAGCGGCGGACGGGUGAGUAAUGCCUAGGAAUCUGCCUGGUAGUGGGGGAUAACGUCCGGAAACGGGCGCUAAUACCGCAUACGUCCUGAGGGAGAAAGUGGGGGAUCUUCGGACCUCACGCUAUCAGAUGAGCCUAGGUCGGAUUAGCUAGUUGGUGGGGUAAAGGCCUACCAAGGCGACGAUCCGUAACUGGUCUGAGAGGAUGAUCAGUCACACUGGAACUGAGACACGGUCCAGACUCCUACGGGAGGCAGCAGUGGGGAAUAUUGGACAAUGGGCGAAAGCCUGAUCCAGCCAUGCCGCGUGUGUGAAGAAGGUCUUCGGAUUGUAAAGCACUUUAAGUUGGGAGGAAGGGCAGUAAGUUAAUACCUUGCUGUUUUGACGUUACCAACAGAAUAAGCACCGGCUAACUUCGU
This 482-nucleotide ribosomal RNA is filed under the name uncultured bacterium. RNAcentral describes it as "partial 16S ribosomal RNA". It matches the Rfam family "Bacterial small subunit ribosomal RNA", at positions 30 to 506 of the family's 1533-position model. The record is from RNAcentral.